GGCUCCGUAGCUCAAUGGAUAGAGCAAUUGCCUUCUAAGCAAUAGGUUACUGGUUCGAUCCCAGUCGGAGUCA
RNAcentral lists this transfer RNA (73 nucleotides) under Bacteroidales bacterium. RNAcentral's name for it is "tRNA-Arg". It matches the Rfam family "tRNA". From Rfam's summary of the family: Transfer RNA (tRNA) molecules are approximately 80 nucleotides in length. Their secondary structure includes four short double-helical elements and three loops (D, anti-codon, and T loops). The record is from RNAcentral. Lineage: Bacteria; Pseudomonadati; Bacteroidota; Bacteroidia; Bacteroidales.